RNAcentral lists this ribosomal RNA (247 nucleotides) under uncultured bacterium. RNAcentral's name for it is "partial 16S ribosomal RNA". It matches the Rfam family "Bacterial small subunit ribosomal RNA", at positions 523 to 769 of the family's 1533-position model. The record is from RNAcentral.
AUACAGAGGGUGCAAGCGUUAAUCGGAGUUACUGGGCGUAAAGGGCGCGUAGGUGGUUGUUUAAGUGAGAUGUGAAAGCCCUGGGCUUAACCUAGGAACUGCAUCUUAUACUGGGCAACUGGAGUACUGUAGAGGGUAGUGGAAUUUCCGGUGUAGCGGUGAAAUGCGUAGAGAUCGGAAGGAACACCAGUGGCGAAGGCGGCUACCUGGACAGAUACUGACACUGAGGCGCGAGAGCGUGGGGAGC